UUACCAUGCAGUCGAGCGGUAAGGCUCCUUCGGGAGUACACGAGCGGCGAACGGGUGAGUAACACGUGAGUAAUCUGCCCUUCACUUCGGGAUAACCGCCGGAAACGGUGGCUAAUACCGAAUACGACCAAUCUUCGCAUGAGGUGUUGGUGGAAAGUUUUUUCGGUGAAGGAUGUGCUCGCGGCCUAUCAGCUUGUUGGUGAGGUAACGGCUCACCAAGGCUUCGACGGGUAGCCGGCCUGAGAGGGUGACCGGCCACACUGGGACUGAGACACGGCCCAGACUCCUACGGGAGGCAGCAGUGGGGAAUAUUGGACAAUGGGCGAAAGCCUGAUCCAGCAACGCCGCGUGAGGGAUGACGGCCUUCGGGUUGUAAACCUCUUUCAGUACCGACGAAGCGCCUUUAACGGUGGUGACGGUAGGUACAGAAGAAGGACCGGCCAACUACGUGCCAGCAGCCGCGGUAAUACGUAGGGUCCGAGCGUUGUCCGGAAUUAUUGGGCGUAAAGGGCUCGUAGGCGGUCUGUUGCGUCGGGAGUGAAAAUUCACAGCUUAACUGUGAACUUGCUUCCGAUACGGGCAGACUUGAGGUAUUCAGGGGAGAACGGAAUUCCUGGUGUAGCGGUGAAAUGCGCAGAUAUCAGGAGGAACACCGGUGGCGAAGGCGGUUCUCUGGGAAUAUCCUGACGCUGAGGAGCGAAAGUGUGGGGAGCGAACAGGAUUAGAUACCCUGGUAGUCCACACCGUAAACGUUGGGCGCUAGGUGUGGGGUCCAUUCCACGGAUUCCGUGCCGCAGCUAACGCA
This 805-nucleotide ribosomal RNA is filed under the name Nocardioides sp. RNAcentral describes it as "bacterial SSU rRNA". It matches the Rfam family "Bacterial small subunit ribosomal RNA", at positions 49 to 859 of the family's 1533-position model. Lineage: Bacteria; Bacillati; Actinomycetota; Actinomycetes; Propionibacteriales; Nocardioidaceae. The record is from RNAcentral.